GGCAGCAGCUAAGAAUAUUCCACAAUGGACGAAAGUCUGAUGGAGCGACGCCGCGUGGGCGAUGAAGGCCGUGAGGUUGUAAGGCCCUUUUCUUGAGGGGGAAUAAUGCGGGCAGGGAAUGGCCUGCAGAUGACGUGAAUCAAGGAAUAAGCCCCGGCUAACUACGUGCCAGCAGCCGCGGUAACACGUAGGGGGCGAGCGUUGUUCGGAAUCAUUGGGCGUAAAGGGCGCGCAGGCGGCCGUGUAAGUCUGGUGUAAAAUGGUUGUGCUCAACACAAUCAUGCGCUGGAAACUGCGGGGCUUGAGUCAACGAGGGGAUGCCGGAAUUCCAGGUGUAGGGGUGAAAUCUGUAGAUAUCUGGAAGAACACCAGUGGCGAAGGCAGGCAUCUGGCGACUGACUGACGCUGAGGCGCGAAGGUGCGGGGAGCAAACAGGUUUAGAUACCCUGGUAGUCCGCACAGUAAACGAUGUGCACCAGGUGGCGGGCAGCAGUGCUCGGUACCGAAGCAAACGCAUUAAGUGCACCGCCUGGGGAGUAUGCCCGCAAGGGUGAAACUCAAAGGAAUUGACGG
Molecule: ribosomal RNA, 573 nt
Filed under: uncultured rumen bacterium
Lineage: Bacteria
Description: bacterial SSU rRNA
Rfam family: Bacterial small subunit ribosomal RNA
Source: RNAcentral